Long non-coding RNA from Mauremys reevesii (Reeves's turtle), 422 nucleotides. RefSeq lists it as uncharacterized. The transcript has 3 exons. The record is from RefSeq and is a predicted model, not a curated record. Lineage: Eukaryota; Metazoa; Chordata; Testudines; Geoemydidae.
GUUGCAAUGCUAUUCACUUAAAUUUCCCCACUCAUCCCAUCACCAUGACAGCGGAGUUGCCGGGCCAAACCUCAGCAGUUCUGUGAUCACAUAUGCCAGGCCGCAAACACCCAGAGCAAGGAGUCAGGCCCAGACCAGCAGGACAGGAGCCACUGCUGAAUUGAGGCAGGUCACCAGGAGGUAGCAUAUCCCAGACAUACUCCUUUCAGACAGCAGGGGGAAAAACUGCUCUGCUAUCAAAUCCUACCCCUAUUUUUACAUCAUUAUUUAUCAGUGAUCAGCCGAGAGAGACUAGAGACUCACGGUUAACUAAGCUUCAACUUCCUUCACUUUCGUAAAGAAAUAUCAAAGUCCAUUUCACUAACUGCAGCAAGAACGCGGUCACGCAACUUUGCCUUCCUGGGAGUUUGGCCGCAACAUGA